GGGAAUUUGGCUUAAUGGCAGAGUGCUUGCCUAACAUGCAUGAAGCCCUGGGUUCGAUUCCUCAGAACCA
RNAcentral lists this transfer RNA (70 nucleotides) under Dipodomys ordii (Ord's kangaroo rat). It matches the Rfam family "tRNA". Rfam says of the family: Transfer RNA (tRNA) molecules are approximately 80 nucleotides in length. Their secondary structure includes four short double-helical elements and three loops (D, anti-codon, and T loops). Lineage: Eukaryota; Metazoa; Chordata; Mammalia; Rodentia; Heteromyidae. The record is from Rfam by way of RNAcentral.